GUGGGGAAUAUUGGACAAUGGGGGGAACCCUGAUCCAGCCAUGCCGCGUGUGUGAAGAAGGCCUUUUGGUUGUAAAGCACUUUAAGCGAGGAGGAGGCUACCGAGAUUAAUACUCUUGGAUAGUGGACGUUACUCGCAGAAUAAGCACCGGCUAACUCUGUGCCAGCAGCCGCGGUAAUACAGAGGUUGCGAGCGUUAAUCGGAUUUACUGGGCGUAAAGCGUGCGGAGGCGUCUUUUUAAGUCGGAUGUGAAAUCCCCGAGGUUAACUUUGGAAUUGCAUUCGAUACUGGGAAGCUAUAGUAUGGGAGAGGAUGGUAGAAUUCCAGGUGUAGCGGUGAAAUGCGUAGAGAUCUGGAGGAAUACCGAUGGCAAAGGCAGCCAUCUGGCCUAAUACUGACGCUGAGGUACGAAAGCAUGGGGAGCAAACAGGAUUAGAAACCCCAGUAGUCC
Molecule: ribosomal RNA, 451 nt
Filed under: uncultured bacterium
Lineage: Bacteria
Description: partial 16S ribosomal RNA
Rfam family: Bacterial small subunit ribosomal RNA
Source: RNAcentral